Long non-coding RNA from Daucus carota subsp. sativus, 2640 nucleotides. RefSeq lists it as uncharacterized. NCBI's taxonomy places the organism in Eukaryota, Viridiplantae, Streptophyta, Magnoliopsida, Apiales, Apiaceae. The transcript has 2 exons. The record is from RefSeq and is a predicted model, not a curated record.
GGAUAUUUAAGUGCCUAUUUUUUGUUUAUUUUCGUAGUAUUAAUCGCUUAUUUAUUUUAUUUCAGGAAAUUGUAGAUAAAUAAAGAAAGAAGAGAAAAUGCAAGAAAAAGAAGAAAAUGAAAAGAAAAGAAGAAAAAAAAGGAAUUGGCAAGUAAGGGACACAUGGAGGGCCACAAUCUUCCCAACACACAAGGCACAUGGAUGGUCAAGAUUGAGCCACCCUACCCCUAAACCCUAAUUCUUUAGUUAUAAAUACCCCUCUUCUUUUACUUGUAAUCACCAACCUACCAACCUAGCAACCUAGCCACCUACCCAACUUUUCUACCUAGUCAUUUCUAUAGUUAGUAUCUUAGAUAGAUUUACAUUUUGCUAGCCCCAAUUUCCUUUCCAAGCGUGUAUACACUUUUUAAUUUCUAUGCAAAUCUCUUUUAGCUUCAUCUUGUAUUGUCUUUUUAAUUUAUUUUCUCCAAGUAGUAUGAUUCUUCUAAGUACCACCACAUGCUUUUAAGCUUUUGGGAAAUGAAGAAUCAUUGAGCUUGUGAUUAGUGUAGAUCUCUUACUUUUUAGAUUUAAUUUUUAGUAGAAAUUUGAGCUCUAGCACAAAAGAUGAUUUGUGUAGGGGCUUAAGCUUUAUAUUUCCAGAUUUCAACCUUGUUAAUUCGGCACUUGUUUUGUUUAUUAGCAUCUCUUUGUCUUUCUUAUCAAUACUAUGCUUAUCUUAGUUUUUGUUAAAACAAAUGCACAGGACUUGUUUCUCGUUUUCUUAAAAUAACCACUGUUCCCCUGUUCUUCCUUUAUACAAACACAUCUCCUUGGUAUUUAGUUUAAACACAAAACCCCAAAGCUCCGUUUUCUUCAUUUCACCGAGUCACACUGCCGAGUUAUGUGUUCGUAUUUUGUUAAGUUGCUGCGUUUUCUUUCCCUUAUCCGAGUUUUGUCCGAGUUCGCUGAGUAGUAGUACUGAGUCGAAAACCCCUGUUCCAAGUUUGUAUGUCAAGUCGAUUGAGUCAUGGCUGUAGUUUUUGUUGUUGAAUGCUGUUAUUGAGUUCUCGUUUUGCCCUGCGAUUGCGUUUCUUUCGGUUCCUUGACUGCGAGCCCGAGUCUGAGUAUCUUUGCUCUGUUUUGGCUGCAUUUCAAUCGAGUCCAGUACCGAGUUUGAGUUCUGAGAUGUUUGGGUUUCGUUAUUUUGUUUAGUCCGCUCGGUGUUAACUGAGUUUUGUUUCUUCUUGGCUGCGUCUGUUUUGAAUACACUGAGUUUGGGUCCUGGUUUAGUCGAGUUGUUGAGUGUUGUUGAUGGGUUUGAAAUCAAGUCAUAGCUGUUCUUUUCGGAGUUUAGUUGCAGAUUAUUUACUGGUUUUAUGAUUUGGAUGUUGAGUUUUGUAAACAGAGUAGUGAGUAGUGUUUGUUGCGUUUUUUUUGGAUUUUGUCGAGUUGUCUUGAAGUCCUGCUGCAGUGUCCAAUUAGUUUUUGAUUGUUUGUAAGUAUGUUUUACUGGCUUUUGAUUAUAGUCCAGGUCCUUGUUCAUUUUUUUUUUGCUUAAAUUUCCAAGUUUAUAAGCUGGUCUGAGUUAUGCUGAGUCGAGGUUUAGUUUUGAAUUAUGCUGGGUUUUGUUCUGUCGUUGUCCAAGCUGCUAUAUAGUUUGUAAUCACUGUCUGGGUUCCUUUAGAGUUUAUUUUGUUAGUUAAGUCGUAGUGUUAGUUUCAUUCGAGUUGUUUUCUGUUCACCGAGUCACUUUAUUCACUGGUAGUUUUUGAAAUGGUGGAUAGUUUAUUGUUUUAAAGUAAACUUUGUUUUAACAUUCUUGUUUUCGGAGUCAUGCAUUCAGUCGAGUUACUAGUGGUACUAGUUAAUUUUCAUUUGCUGAACAAGUUAAUUAGUUAAGUUUUGAUUAGUAAUAAUUAAUUAGAUUAGCUUACAAUGAAAUCUUAGAGUUAAAUUUAGAAACCCCUUUUUCUCAAAAUAUUUUGUUCUUUUCCGCCUAGAUUAAUUAAUUAAGGAUUUGCGAAAAAUAAUUUUAAUCUCUGUGGAUCGAAUCAUAAAUAUUAAAACGGUGAUCGUGCGCUUGCGAUUUAAAAGGUAAUCAUUUCGAGCACAUCAAGUUUUUGGCGCCGCUGCCGGGGAUUAAAAUUAAUUUUUUUCGCUCCUUUAUUUUUAAUCUUUCGGAUUAGUUUGUUUCUCACUAUUUUUUGUUCUUUAUUUCGAGGAGGAGUAUUCGGGAAUCAUGGAGUAAAGUGAACAAAUUUUGCUCGGAUUUGGAAGCUUGCUUUGGAAAUUGUAGAUAAAUAAAGAAAGAAGAGAAAAUGCAAGAAAAAGAAGAAAAUGAAAAGAAAAGAAGAAAAAAAAGGAAUUGGCAAGUAAGGGACACAUGGAGGGCCACAAUCUUCCCAACACACAAGGCACAUGGAUGGUCAAGAUUGAGCCACCCUACCCCUAAACCCUAAUUCUUUAGUUAUAAAUACCCCUCUUCUUUUACUUGUAAUCACCAACCUACCAACCUAGCAACCUAGCCACCUACCCAACUUUUCUACCUAGUCAUUUCUAUAGUUAGUAUCUUAGAUAGAUUUACAUUUUGCUAGCCCCAAUUUCCUUUCCAAGCGUGUAUACACUUUUUAAUUUCUAUGCAAAUCUCUUUUAGCUUCA